Molecule: long non-coding RNA, 4538 nt
Organism: Papaver somniferum (opium poppy)
Lineage: Eukaryota; Viridiplantae; Streptophyta; Magnoliopsida; Ranunculales; Papaveraceae
Exons: 4
Source: RefSeq, a predicted model, not a curated record
ACACGGAUCCGGGAACAAAAGAAAAAAAAAAAACAUAAAAUUUCAUUAUGAAUAAUUAGAAGAAAAAAAAAACCUAAACCUAUACCAUAACCCUAACUUUCAUCUUCUCUUCCACUUUCUUCUCUACGAAUGUCCUUUAGGUUUUUUUUUUUUUGUUCUUUCGCUGAUCGACCAUUGGUCAUUUUAAUGAUCUAAAGUAUUUAAAGAGAAAAGAAGCCUCUUAAUCGAUGGAAAGUACGAUCCAGAUCCCUUUUUGUCUCUUCGCUAACUUUGAUUUGUGGUACCUUUAUGUUUUCACUAAUCUGCAGGAGUAUGAUACCAGCAGGAUAACUAGGAUGGACAUAUAUAUUAGUGAUUAUAUUGACCACUUUCUCCAUAAACCCUAAAACUUCUAACUUUGUGAUUAUGCUGGGAGGUAAUCAAUACAAUAGCUACGUUUCGUCUACUUUGACUAAUACUGUAUUUUAUAUUAUUUAUUUGCUUUGCAGGAUAGGACAUUACUCUGGAUGAAAAUCUUGAACUCGAUGUGCCUCUUCAUAGGGAAAGGUAAAUGUUUCGAGGAUUUUAUUUAAGUUUCUAUUAGUAGAUAAGUAUAGCCAACAGAAAGAAUGAGUUUGCUUUGAGUUUGUAUUGAUAUGCCGGUUUUGCACCAUUAUUGAUAUGUCGGUUUUGCACCAUUAUUGCACCAUUAUUAAUGAAAUCCGUAGGACACCUCCUAAUCUUCAAGAUGAUUUGAUGGAAGGAACAAUUGUUAUCUCCCUAACACGUCUUGAUUUGAAUUGAAAUGUCCUAUAAACAUUGUGUUUUCUAAUUAUAUGAUUAUUUUUUUAAUUUUUUCCAUGAUCAUUCAAAUUCUUAGCAAUAUUUACAGAUUUUAUUAGUUUAGAUACAUAAGAAUGGAAGAUAUUCAUAUUAAACAGGAUGAUACAAACUCAAUUAUAUGGUUGUUGCUGCUUCAAUAGUUUGUUGUAGUCAAGCAUAUGCAAUAUAAGUAGUCAAGCCUUUUCAAUUACGAGGCUUAAGCCACAGCCUGAAGUACAAGGUAAUGUAUCACUGUUUAUUUCUUAUUGUUCCCUAUUUAAACUAACAUAUUGAUUAAAUAGGGAAUUGAAAGCCGCACGCAGUUGCAACCUGCAUCAGAUGUUGUUAUCAUUGAAGCAAGGGGAUUGCAUUUUCGUAUGAACGGCUAAUGGGGCGAUGAACGACGAACUGUGUACACCUUUCUGAUGAAUCAUUUUGGAGUAAUGGGGAAAGCAAAAUUUUGUUUUAUAGGGAAUAUUAAGGAACACAGGUCAGUGAUAUGCUUUCAAAUUAUGAUUAGAGAAUUAGCUUACCUCAUGGGUGGAGUUACUUAUGUUUAUCAGAAUUAUAUGAAUGUAACACUAAAUAACUUUUUCGGUCAAAAAAACGGCAUAAAAGGGAAAAAACAGAUCCGGGAACAAAAGAAGAAAAACAUAAAAUUUCAUUAUGAAUAAUUAGAAGAAGAAAAAAACAGUUAAACCUAAACCUAUACCAUAACCCUAACUUUCAUCUUCUCUUCCACUUUCUUCUCUACGAAUGUCCUUUAGGUUUUUUUUUUUUUUUUGUUCUUUCGCUGAUCGACCAUUGGUCAUUAUUCGUUUUUAACGAUCUAAAGUAUUUAAAGAGAAAAGAAGCCUCUUAAUCGAUGGAAAGUACGAUCCAAAUUCCUUUUUGUCUCUUCGCUAACUUUGAUUUGUGGUACCUUUUUGUUUUCACUAAUCUGCAGGAGUAUGAUACCAGCGGGAUAACUAAGAUGUACAUACAUAUUAGUGAUUAUUUUGACCACUUUCUCCAUAAACCCUAAAACUUCUAGCUUUGUGAUUAUGCUGGGAGGUAAUCAAUACAAUAGUUACGUUUCGUCUACUUUGACUAAUACUGUAUUUUAUCUUAUUUAUUUGCUUUACAGGAUAGGACAUUACUCUGGAUGAAAAUCUUGAACUCGAUGUGCCUCUUCAUAGGGAAAGGUAAAUGUUUCGAGGAUUUUAUUUGAGUUUCUAUUAGUAGAUAAGUAUAGCCAACAGAAAGAAUGAGUUUGCUUUGAGUUUGUAUUGAUAUGCCGGUUUUGCACCAUUAUUUAUAUGCCGAUUUUGCACCAUUAUUAAUGAAAUCCGUAGGACACCUCCUAAUCUUCAAGAUGAUUUGAUGGCAGGAACAAUUGUUAUCUCCCUAACACGUCUUGAUUUGAAUUGAAAUGUCGUAUAGACAUUGUGUUUUCUAAUUAUAUGAUUAUUUUUUAAAUUUUGUCCAUGAUCAUUCAAAUUCUUAGCAAUAUUUACAUAUUUUAUUAGUUUAGAUAUAUAAGAAUGGAAGAUAUUCAUAUUAAACGGGAUGAUACAAACUGAGUUAUAUGGUUGCUGCUGCUGCUUCAAUAGUUUGUUGUAGUCAAGCAUCUGCAAUAUAAAUCGUCAAGCCUUUUCAAUUACGAGGCUUAAGUCACAGCCUGAAGUACAAGAGACUACAAAGAGUCGGAGUUUGAGAUUGGGUUGUGGUAGAUUCGACUAUGAUAAGGGAAUCGAAAGCCGCACGCAGUUGCAACCUGCAUCAGAUGUUGUUAUUAUUGAAGCAAGGGGAUUGCAUUUUCGUAUGAACGGCUAAUGGGGCGAUGAACAGCGAACUAUGUACACCUUUCUGAUGAAUCAUUUUGGAGUAAUGGGGAAAGCAUAAUUUUGUUUUAUAGGGAAUAUUAAGGAACACAGGUCAAUGAUAUGCUUUCAAAUUAUGAUUAGAGAAUUAGCUUACCUCAUGGGUGGAGUUAGUUAUGUUUAUCAGAAUUGUUGUCACUGUGAUAGAUAUACUUAAGGAUUGGCAAGUUUGCUAAUUGAGAUACCAACACUAUCUCUGUAGAUCUAUGGAGAAAUCGUUCAAACCCUAGUUAAUCAUCAUCUGUAUUUCCAUUAACUUUUUUUGGUUUGAUACAGUUGUUGUAAAUCAGGAUAAAAUAGGGAUAUUUUAUCAUAACUCUUAAACUAAUUCAGGGUUUGCGGUGCGGAGAAAAUUAAGUUUUCCAGUUCUCUCUUAUUCUCUUUCCACAUUCAGGAAAAAUCUGAUUUCUUUCUCUCUUCAAGAGAGCACAUGAAAUCACAGAUCUGCAGAUAGGAAAAGACGGGAGCUUUUAUUUGUAUUUGCUUCCCUUUCUUUUUUCUGGUGUGAUUGACACUUUUAUGUUAGAUGGUCGGAUUUCCUUUGAAGAUUGGACCGAGAAACUGAUCCCAAUGUUUAAUUCUGGCACUAUUUUUUGUUUAUGAAAUUGAUGCAUCUUAGUAACUUCCUAUGUUAUCUCCAUCUAAGGUUUUUUAACUUUUCAAUGCCUAGCCUCAUUCCUGUGGUGGUAAAAGCAUUCGAAAUGGCAGGAAUCUACUGACAAUGGACAAGCAAUCUUGGUAAACAUGUUGUAUUUGAACGUAUUUUUUGUCACCCACCGUUUAUUGAUUUUGGUACUAGAAACUGCAUCAAGCCACAAUAUAGUUUUGUUUUUCUCCUAACUAUUAUUUUCUUUUCAGCCUUAGAUUGUGUUUGUUUUUCUCUGGAUCAGUUGUGGGGAUCGUUUAAUUUUGAUUUGCGUCCAGAAAGAAUAUGAUAAAUAUACCUAUGAGUCGAUGACUCUAUGGCGGCAGCUUUGGAAGGAAGUUACAGCGCUUGACACGUGGGACAACGAAAAGCACAAUGAGUACAUGCCUUCUAAGCAAGAGCUAACAUGUACUUACCUAUGGCGGCAGCUUUGGAAGGAAGUUUAAUGGGUCAGGGAGUAUUAAUGGCGCAAAAACUUUAAGUAGGGUAGUUAUAAGGUCCAAAGUGGAGUAGAAGAUGCACACAUUUUUCACCGAGUAGAUACUGGCAGUGUGGCACUAACGUCGAACACAAUUGGUACCUAGACUUUUGACACAAUUGCUAACAAAUGAGUAUCAUCAGCUAAGCAACAGACAAUUGAUAGUUGAACAUCUAGGGAUCAGAAUUGGAAACACUCAAUUCAUGGAAACAAGAUGAGAAUAUGAAUACAAACUUUUAUUGCAUAGUUUAUUAAGUUUCUGAAAAUGAAAUCCCAAGGUUUUAAUAGUGUAUUUAUAUCUGUGUUUGUUUCUCUCUAUUUGAGUUACACGGUAUCAAAAGAAACUAAUGAAUUUUCAUGGUUCAUCUCAGGUGAAGAACAUGCACAUAUUAAGCAAGAUGGUGUAGAAAUGGAGGCAACCAUUUUUACAAGAAGGAUGCACCAUUGAAAAAAAGAAUAAGUGUGUAAAGCAGAGUUGCGUCCACCUUGAACGCAUCUGAAGCAGCGAAUCCGGGAUAUUUCCUUUUAUAUGAACUCGUAAAGCUUUAUUUGUCAGUGGACGAGGAGGAAAAGACACCAAGGAAGACAUACCCAUACACUUCUACUUUAUUUAUGGUAAAGUCUUAUUUGAGUAGGUCUUUAUGUACCUGUAUUGUUGCUUACUGUACAUGUGAAAGAAUGUUAAAAUGUUUUGAUAUUUUAACCAUUUGUCUACAUAAUCCUGAAGCAAUCUAUUUGAAAUGCCGUGGAA